RNAcentral lists this ribosomal RNA (216 nucleotides) under Glomeromycotina sp. Its description in RNAcentral is "partial small subunit ribosomal RNA". The stretch from base 76 to 216 matches the Rfam family "Eukaryotic small subunit ribosomal RNA", at positions 722 to 864 of the family's 1831-position model. Lineage: Eukaryota; Fungi; Glomeromycota. The record is from RNAcentral.
GGGUCAGUAGGUUGGUCGUGCCACCGGUACGUACUGGUCUCACUGAUUCCUCCUUCCUGAAGAACCGUGAUGCCGUUAAUUUGGUGUUGCGGGGAAACAGGACUGUUACUUUGAAAAAAUUAGAGUGCUUAAAGCAAGCUAACGCUUGAAUACAUUAGCAUGGAAUAAUGAAAUAGGACGAUCGAUCCUAUUUUGUUGGUUUCUAGGAUUGACGUA